Non-coding RNA from Cinara cedri, 242 nucleotides. Lineage: Eukaryota; Metazoa; Arthropoda; Insecta; Hemiptera; Aphididae. The record is from the annotation of a GenBank genome assembly.
CGUGUAAUCGUAAAGCAAUCAAAAUUGUUAACAAAGAGACCGUAUACUGAAUAUAUACCGUAUAACGAAAAAAACUACUUGGACUAUAGACCUAAUUGAGGAACCGAAUUUUCACGAUAAAUAAAGAAAAUAAAAAGAGAAAUUUCCCUGGGCUGCAACGUUGGUUUUAGUUUUUCGAUAUCAUUUAUACCAAAAUAGUUAUCGCAGAUAGAAAAAUAUAAUAUUAUCAGAUUUAUAGUACA